GAGACACAUUGCAGCCAAUCAGCAGCAUACCCUCCCUCCCAGACCCUCCCACCUCCUGGACAGCAUCCAUUGUGAAGCUGCAUUCUUAGUGAGCUGUCCAGGAGGUGGGAGGGUCUGGGAGGGAGGGUCUGCUGCUGAUUGGCUGGAAUGUGUCU
RNAcentral lists this microRNA precursor (155 nucleotides) under Pelobates cultripes (western spadefoot toad). The record is from RNAcentral. Lineage: Eukaryota; Metazoa; Chordata; Amphibia; Anura; Pelobatidae.